Molecule: ribosomal RNA, 515 nt
Filed under: uncultured bacterium
Lineage: Bacteria
Description: partial 16S ribosomal RNA
Rfam family: Bacterial small subunit ribosomal RNA
Source: RNAcentral
UGGGGAAUAUUGCACAAUGGGCGAAAGCCUGAUGCAGCAACGCCGCGUGAGUGAUGAAGGUCUUCGGAUUGUAAAGCUCUGUCUUUUGGGACGAUAAUGACGGUACCAAAGGAGGAAGCCACGGCUAACUACGUGCCAGCAGCCGCGGUAAUACGUAGGUGGCGAGCGUUGUCCGGAUUUACUGGGCGUAAAGGGUGCGUAGGCGGAUGUUUAAGUGAGAUGUGAAAUACCCGGGCUUAACUUGGGUGCUGCAUUUCAAACUGGAUAUCUAGAGUGCAGGAGAGGAGAAUGGAAUUCCUAGUGUAGCGGUGAAAUGCGUAGAGAUUAGGAAGAACACCAGUGGCGAAGGCGAUUCUCUGGACUGUAACUGACGCUGAGGCACGAAAGCGUGGGUAGCAAACAGGAUUAGAUACCCUGGUAGUCCACGCCGUAAACGAUGAGUACUAGGUGUAGGAGGUAUCGACCCCUUCUGUGCCGCAGUAAACACAUUAAGUACUCCGCCUGGGAAGUACGAU